RNAcentral lists this ribosomal RNA (586 nucleotides) under uncultured bacterium. RNAcentral's name for it is "partial 16S ribosomal RNA". It matches the Rfam family "Bacterial small subunit ribosomal RNA", at positions 355 to 1375 of the family's 1533-position model. The record is from RNAcentral.
UGGGGAAUUUUGGACAAUGGGCGAAAGCCUGAUCCAGCAAUGCCGCGUGUGUGAAGAAGGCCUUCGGGUUGUAAAGCACUUUUGUCCGGAAAGAAAUCCUUGGCUCUAAUACAGUCGGGGGAUGACGGUACCGGAAGAAUAAGCACCGGCUAACUACGUGCCAGCAGCCGCGGUAAUACGUAGGGUGCAAGCGUUAAUCGGAAUUACUGGGCGUAAAGCGUGCGCAGGCGGUUUGCUAAGACCGAUGUGAAAUCCCCGGGCUCAACCUGGGAACUGCAUUGGUGACUGGCAGGCUAGAGUAUGGCAGAGGGGGGUAGAAUUCCACGUGUAGCAGUGAAAUGCGUAGAGAUGUGGAGGAAUACCGAUGGCGAAGGCAGCCCCCUGGGCCAAGUACUGACGCUCAUGCACGAAAGCGUGGGGAGCAAACAGGAUUAGAUACCCUGGUAGUCCACGCCCUAAACGAUGUCAACUAGUUGUUGGGGAUUCAUUUCCUUAGUAACGUAGCUAACGCGUGAAGUUGACCGCCUGGGGAGUACGGUCGCAAGAUUAAAACUUAAAAGAAUUGACGGGGUCAUAGCUGUUUCCU